AUAACACUAAACAAACCCGGCGUGUUUUUAAACGAAAAAAAAUCCAACAAUGUCUCGCGACGUUAGGCGGUUAAAAAAUACGAGUGAAAUAGACUUCUAACGCGAAUAACGUCUAAAACUUAAAUGCCACAUUGAGGAAAUGUUAAAAGAGAGAGGGCUGGGACAUUGCGCGUGAGUUAUUUUUUUGGGGAUGGCAAUCUAUGAAACACAAGAAGCAAGAAGCCAGUAUUGCUCGUAAAAGUGCAUCAGAAAAAGAAGAAGAAUAUGUAUUAACCAUCAACAGACACACAGAUAGUAUAAAAUUUUUUUGUGUGGCUCCCGUUAUCCGUAUUUGAUUGUUGGGCAGUUGGAUUUGCUUUUUCAUCCCGGCUCCACUUUAUGUUGAUUCGGAGUGUAACAUAAGUGUGUGAGUGUGCGAUAUGAUGCGACUUUGGGAAACUCUAUGGAGGGAGUGGAAUAGAAAUAGGCUGGUAAAAACCCGUCAGGCGACUAAACCAAAAGAAAUGGGAGGAAAAAAAAUCUAAAUAUAUAUAUAUAUUAUGGCUUUAAAGAGAGACAAUAAUAUAAUAUAAUCUUAUAUAUUUUUAGGAAUUCGCCCGUAUUUAUUAGAAUACGCAAAAGAACUAAACUUAAUAUAAGUAUACCAACAGAAGAAUUUUGUUAUUUAAUUCUGCCAAGCUGAAUGUGUUAUUUUAAAAGUAUGGCUACCCACACGUCGAUACCCUCUACGUGGUUUUAAUCAUCCUAUUUACUACAUAUAUACAAUACAUAUAUACAAAAUAAGUAUAUGUUUUUUUUAUUUUGCUCAAGUUUCAAGUUCACGCUAAUCGCUGUGGAUUUUAUUGCGUAAUCAUCUCACAGAUAGAGUUCGCUUGCUCAGUUGGACUGGAAAUAACAAAAAAGAAAAAAAAAAUUAGGCACAGACAAAAAAAAAAUUUAAAAGUUACUACAUUAGACUUUUCCUUAUCGCACGGGAUAAUCGCUUGAAUGUGUAUAGAGCGAGCAUUCUUUUCGCUUGAUGCGUGUUAGAUUUUUUUAAAACCAUAUAACGACUACGAAAAUGCAUGGCCGGCAGUAGCGGAACCUCUCUGUAGUCGGCCCUGUGCUAAAAAAUAAAACAAAAAAUUCGCGCGUCUGGCGAAUUAUUUUUGCUAACUACUUAAUUCGCGGACGCUUUGCUUUUUCACUGGUUAAAGCUGUUAGAAAACCUUCAUAUUUUCACAUCAGAUGACGUUCUAUAAAAACUUUCAUCACCAAAUGAAUAAAUAAGUAAUCGCAUUGAGUGUAAAAGUGGGCCACUGCGUAAAAAAAAAAAAAAAAAAAAACUAAAUAAACAAAACAAAAAAAUAAAUGUCUUCAAAAGAUCGCAAUUUGAAAAGGGUAACUUGGUGAACUACGCAAUUGGUGAAAGUUGUUAUUCAUAUCCGAAAAUAAUACCGAUUAUACAUAAUAAUGUAAUUGUACCGGCUAACAGGUGCUAGAUUUUUCGGAUUAGUUUUUUUAUGCCGAUCUUUUGUACCCCAUAAACUAUAAGUAGUAUUGUAGAUACCUAAAUCGGAGAAAGAACCAGACCAAAAAAAGGGAAGAGAAAAUCUAGCUUAAAAAAGUCGGAGGAAACGAGAGGUGAGAGGAAGAUGAGCCUCAAAAAUUGCAAAGUACCGGCUAUUUUAAAGUGAAGGCAUCAAGGCGGUCGAGCAAGCCGUUGUGGGAUAGGAUAGGAGAAGGAUAGAAAAAAAGAAAAAAAAGGACAGGUCACCCUCUGUUUCCAGCAUACCAACUAGCUUGCAGCUGAGAGGACUCUUCUUCUUCUUCUUCUUCUUCUUCUUCUCUUAUUUUCUAGCCUUUGGCUCUUAUAUUAUACUAUAUACCGUCAGACAUCCACUUGUGCUUCACGAUAUCCGAUCUCUGCGUGAUCCCACUGCAACGGCAAUCUUCUAUGCUGCUCAGGAUUAGUUUUGUUCGAACAAAGAAAAUGCUUUUUGACUUUUAAGUCAAUUGCGCAAGAAUUAUGUAUUCAGGAAUAUUUCCUUUCUUUGUUCCCAAAAACAUUUCCGCCAAACUAGGCCUGUGUCUUUUUCACGAUAACAUCAUGCGUAGGCAGGUCAAACGAUUAUUUAUAACAUUAAUAAGUGAAUAACGCAUACCUGCAGCUCUACUCGGAUAAAAGCCAAAAAGCAUAUGGGUGUAUUAUAUUAUGAUGCUAUCUAUGUGUGAGUCAAGUCCUUGAUGGAGCUCGAGGGCGAGUCUCACCCUUAUAUCUAGGUAAAAUAAUUAGCUUCAGCUGUUCCAAUUAAGAAGAAGUAGCUGAAAAAAAAAUUUACAUUGUAAAAAUCUA
RNAcentral lists this long non-coding RNA (2335 nucleotides) under Cotesia glomerata. Its description in RNAcentral is "uncharacterized LOC123271165". Lineage: Eukaryota; Metazoa; Arthropoda; Insecta; Hymenoptera; Braconidae. The record is from RNAcentral.